Etheostoma spectabile (orangethroat darter) is the source of this 169-nucleotide long non-coding RNA. RefSeq lists it as uncharacterized. Lineage: Eukaryota; Metazoa; Chordata; Actinopteri; Perciformes; Percidae. The record is from RefSeq and is a predicted model, not a curated record. The transcript is spliced from 3 exons.
AACUGACAUGCAAGUGUGUUGGAAGCGUUUCCAGGCUAAAUAGAAUACGAAAAGAUGUUUAUAUGUCAUUUCGACACAAAUAAAUAUUAAUAAAUGACAUGUUCAUGUUUGAAAGUCUCCAGGUUUUGACAUCAAUGCUGAUUUAAAUAAUCAUUAUGUAUUUUCAAAU